Non-coding RNA from Myotis davidii, 76 nucleotides. The record is from Rfam. Lineage: Eukaryota; Metazoa; Chordata; Mammalia; Chiroptera; Vespertilionidae.
GGCAGUUCUCAGGUGACACACCCCAGAAUUGGGCUUCCUCCUCUCUGGUUCCAGGUGCGUCACCCCGAGAACUGCA